GACGAACGCUGGCGGCGUGCUUAACACAUGCAAGUCGAACGGAAAGGCCCUGCUUUUGUGGGGUGCUCGAGUGGCGAACGGGUGAGUAACACGUGAGUAACCUGCCCUUGACUUUGGGAUAACUUCAGGAAACUGGGGCUAAUACCGGAUAGGAGCUCCUGCUGCAUGGUGGGGGUGGGAAAGUUUCGGCGGUUGGGGAUGGACUCGCGGCUUAUCAGCUUGUUGGUGGGGUAGUGGCUUACCAAGGCUUUGACGGGUAGCCGGCCUGAGAGGGUGACCGGCCACAUUGGGACUGAGAUACGGCCCAGACUCCUACGGGAGCAAGCAGUGGGGAAUAUUGCACAAUGGGCGGAAGCCUGAUGCAGCAACGCCCCGUGCGGGAUGACGGCCUUCGGGUUGUAACCCGCUUUCGCCUGUGACGAAGCGUGAGUGACGGUAAUGGGUAAAGAAGCACCGGCUAACUACGUG
Molecule: ribosomal RNA, 468 nt
Filed under: uncultured bacterium
Lineage: Bacteria
Description: partial 16S ribosomal RNA
Rfam family: Bacterial small subunit ribosomal RNA
Source: RNAcentral